This is a long non-coding RNA of Mytilus californianus (California mussel), 903 nucleotides long. RefSeq lists it as uncharacterized. The record is from RefSeq and is a predicted model, not a curated record. Lineage: Eukaryota; Metazoa; Mollusca; Bivalvia; Mytilida; Mytilidae. The transcript has 3 exons.
CCUUGACUUACCUUCCGUCCCCUCCCCAGGCUCCAUUAGGUGUAAUUGUAACUUCUCUACAUGCAUCACCAUCUGUAUUAUACAUCCCUGACUUACCUUCCGUCCCCUCCCCAGGCUCCAUUAGGUGUAAUUGUAACUUCUCUGCAUGCAUCACUAUCUGUAUUGUACAUCCUUGACUUACCUUCCAUCCCCUCCCCAGGCUCCAUUAGGUGUAAUUGUAACUUCUCUACAUGCAACACUAUCUGUAUUGUACAUCCUUGACUUACCUUCCGUCCCCUCCCCAGGCUCCAUUAGGUGUAAUUGUAACUUCUCUACAUGCAUCACUAUCUGUAUUGUACACAUAUAAUCUCAAUGGUUUUCCUUCAUGGUUUUCUAUUAAGGUGAACAAAUCCUCUGUCUGAAAAGUAAGUAUGAACAAAGAUAAAAUUUGCUUAGGUCUAAGAAAAUGUAAAAAAUUGUCCAAAGCAUUUCUUGAUACUUUCAUUUUAGGAAUAACAGUACUGAAGUUGAAGAGUUGCAGCCAUCAAUUAGGGAAUUGAUGGUCACAAAUGCAGUUUUACUGGCGAGGAUAUUUGCGACCAUAAAAUCAAAGUUGAUCGCAUCAACUCUUUAACUACAGUACUGUUAUUCCUAUUCUAAUGCAUUACAAAAAGAAAUAAUACGUAAGAGCUUUUAAAAUGUAUAAAUUUAAGAUAAAAGAAAAUAUUGCAAAACUUUUUGAUUUUGGAUAAUAUCUCUGAAAUAAAUGGUGAUGCUGUAUUCUUGAUAUUCCAAACAAUAUUGUAAUAUAGGUUCUUAUUUUUGUACUUUCAGUGUCUUUAAAAAUUACUUUUGGCAAAGGGGUUAAAUUCUCACAUGAGAACAAUAAUUGCCUUCUCCACAUCAAUAAUUGUUGAUUUGUAC